GGAGAGGUGGCCGAGCGGUUUAAGGCACCAGUCUUGAAAACUGGCGAGGUGUCAAAGCCUCCGUGGGUUCGAAUCCCACCCUCUCCG
This 87-nucleotide transfer RNA is filed under the name Elusimicrobiota bacterium. RNAcentral's name for it is "Elusimicrobia bacterium tRNA-Ser". It matches the Rfam family "tRNA". From Rfam's summary of the family: Transfer RNA (tRNA) molecules are approximately 80 nucleotides in length. Their secondary structure includes four short double-helical elements and three loops (D, anti-codon, and T loops). Further hydrogen bonds mediate the characteristic L-shaped molecular structure. tRNAs have two regions of fundamental functional importance: the anti-codon, which is responsible for specific mRNA codon recognition, and the 3' end, to which the tRNAs corresponding amino acid is attached (by aminoacyl-tRNA synthetases). tRNAs cope with the degeneracy of the genetic code in two manners: having more than one tRNA (with a specific anti-codon) for a particular amino acid; and 'wobble' base-pairing, i.e. permitting non-standard base-pairing at the 3rd anti-codon position. Lineage: Bacteria; Pseudomonadati; Elusimicrobiota. The record is from RNAcentral.